UCGGGAAUUUUGGGCAAUGGGCGAAAGCCUGACCCAGCAACGCCGCGUGAAGGAUGAAGUAUUUCGGUAUGUAAACUUCGAAAGAAUAGGAAGAAUAAAUGACGGUACUAUUUAUAAGGUCCGGCUAACUACGUGCCAGCAGCCGCGGUAAUACGUAGGGACCAAGCGUUGUUCGGAUUUACUGGGCGUAAAGGGCGCGUAGGCGGCAAUUCAAGUCAUCUGUGAAAUCUCCGGGCUUAACUCGGAACGGUCAGAUGAUACUGCUUUGCUAGAGUGCAGAAGCGGCAAUCGGAAUUCUUGGUGUAGCGGUGAAAUGCGUAGAUAUCAAGAGGAACACCUGAGGUGAAGACGGGUUGCUGGGCUGACACUGACGCUCAUGCACGAAAGCGUGGGGAGCAAACAGGAUUAGAUACCCCAGUAGUCCCUGAG
RNAcentral lists this ribosomal RNA (429 nucleotides) under uncultured bacterium. RNAcentral describes it as "bacterial SSU rRNA". It matches the Rfam family "Bacterial small subunit ribosomal RNA", at positions 355 to 801 of the family's 1533-position model. The record is from RNAcentral.